UCACAUGAGUUGGAUAUAACAACUAAGAAUUAUGAUGAAUUCCAGGGAAUAAUGGAAGAUGGAAGAGAGAUAGCUGUAAAGAGACUCUCAAAGACCUCUAGGCAAGGAACAAAUGAAUUUAAGAACGAAGUUGUCUGCAUUGCAAAACUUCAGCAUCGAAAUCUUGUCAAGCUUUUAGGAUGCUGCAUUCAAGAAGAAGAGAUGAUGUUGAUCUAUGAGUAUCUUCCAAAUAAAGGCUUGGACUUCUUUAUCUUUGGUAUGCAUAAGUUUUGUUGAUUCAUGUUUACAUUUUGGACUUACCUGAUGAUUAGUAAUGCUUUUAAUAUUUUGCUACAUUAUAUUACAAAAUUAUGUACAGAUGAAAAGCGAAGCAAAUCACUUGACUGGCCUGCCAGAUUCAAUAUCAUAAAUGGGAUUGCUCGAGGACUUCUGUAUCUCCAUCAGGACUCUAGACUACGAAUUAUCCAUAGAGAUCUUAAAGUAAGCAAUAUCUUGUUAGACAAAGAUUGGAACCCAAAGAUAUCUGACUUUGGCAUGGCUAGAAUUUUUGGAGGAGAUGAGACAGAAGCAAGCACCAGAAGAGUGGUCGGCACAUAGUAAGAACUAGCUAUUUAGCAUAACCUGUGUAGUAAUAUAAUCUUUUGAUCUAGAUUUGAUUUCUUGUUUCUACUCCUUCAGUGGCUAUAUGUCUCCUGAGUAUCAACUGGACGGUCUUUUCUCAGUAAAAUCAGAUGUAUUUAGCUUCGGUGUUUUAGUGCUUGAAAUUGUAACUGGGAAAAGAAACAGAAGAUUCUUUCAUCCAGAUCACCAUCACAAUCUUCUAGGACAUGUAAGUUUUUGGUUUUCUCCUGUUCUUACAAUACAAAAACAGAAACUAAUAUAUAUUUUUUCAUAUUCAGGUCUGGAACCUGUAUAAAGAAGGCAAGGCGGAGGAGCUGGUAGAUGCACAAUUAGGUUACUCAAGGCCUUAUCAGUCUGAAAUUUUGCGAUCAAUUCACAUAGGUUUGUUGUGUGUACAACAAGAUCCAGAAGCGAGACCAAACAUGUCCUAUGUUGUUAUGAUGCUGGGAAGCGAUGUUAUACUACCAGAGCCUACACAACCUGGUUUUUUCACAGAAAGAAACAAGUUUGUAUCUGACGACUCUUCAAGCCAGAACAUAUCAAAUACCGUGAAUGAAGUCACUGUCACACUACUAGAUGCUCGAUAACAAUAUUGUGUAACAUAAUAAUCGGUGAAAACUUUUAGUUCUGUUAUCCAUGUUUUCUUGUAGGAAGAAGUUCUGAACAAUAUCUAGCAAUAUUACAAGCCAAAAUUUCAGAAUUAUGGUUUUUUAAGGUCAUGAACACACCCAGUCAACUGCAUUCUUCAAUCCGACACCAACUUAUGAUGUAUUGAUGAAAUUUGAGACCUUUCCAACCUGUGUUGUUGUAAUAGAAAAGAUUAUCAACUCCUUCCUUUCAAAAUAAAAUAUUCUCCAUGUGUGAAACAAAGACAUUUGUAGUAAAUAUUAUCAUGAAGGGACAGCACUCAAUAUUUUAUUUUUCGUUUUCUAGGUAAUUAUUUUUUACAAAGUAUGCAUGAAAUCAAUUUGGAAUUUGAAUUUGAAUAUUUGUUUAUCUUCGAUAUUUGAAUGAGAUCAACUAGAAGAUGUGAACUCGGAAAUAUUAGUAUGCCGACUUGAGGAAGAUUUCAAAAGAUGUACAGCAUGUUUAUCCUUUACGAAUGAUGUUUGUUAAAUUAAAAUAGAAAAAGGUGAAGAAUAUCAAGUGGCAUUGUGCCACAGUGUCAGUUCACAUGUUACCUGGAAGCUUACUAAAAGAGUAAAGUGAUUACAGAUAGGCUGACUGCUGACCUUUGUUUUUAGUCGCCUUUACGAAACUGCGCUGGACUUUCUUUCAUAUUUUCAGGAAAUAUUCUUCUCCAGUGUGGAAGAGCAACAUGUUAAAGAUCUAAACAUUCUCUUCAUCACUAUAUUUUACAGUAAACACAAAAACAAACACUAAUGAAAGAAUUUAUACUUGUUUUAUUUUGUUGUUCCUUUGUAUUAGGAAACAUCAAAGUUCUGGUAGCUCAAGACGCAUUAAAAACAAGUCAACUACUCAGAGAUGGUGAAACUAUAGUUUCUGCUGGAGGAAACUUUGAACUGGGAUUCUUUAGUCCUGAAAGUUCUGUAAAUCGAUACGUUGGAAUAUGGUACAAGAAGAUAAGUACUGGAACUGUGGUUUGGGUUGCCAGCAGAAACAAUCCUAUCAACAACAAAUCCGGAGUUUUAACACUCACUGCUCAAGGAAAUCUGAACAUCAUUGUCAAUCUCACAAGUGAUGUCAUUUGGUCUUCAAAUUCCUCGACAUUAGAUAAGAAGAUCGACGCAGUUGCACAACUUCUUGAUACAGGAAAUUUUGUUGUCAAAGAUGUGAAGGAUAAUAAUGUUUUAUGGCAGAGUUUUGAUUAUCCAACUGAUACUUUAUUAGCUGGAAUGAGGUUUGGAAUUGAUAAGGUUACCGGAUUAGACAGGUAUUUGACGUCUUGGAGAAGUAAUGAUGAUCCAGGUACAGGUGAUUAUACUUAUCGAUGUGAUCCUCAAGGUUUCCCUCAGUUUUUAAUUACAGAUGGUUCUAAAAAGAUUUACAGGCUUGGAAAUUGGAACGGGAUCAUAUUUAGUGGAUUUCCAAGACCGGUAAGCAACAUUAGUCUAAGUUUUGUAAAUACUUACAAGGAGGUCUACUAUAUGUACAAUAUUGUUAACAGUUCUAUGUUUACAAGAUUGGUGCUUAAUCAGAAUGGUGUUGCUGUGCGACAGACAUGGGCUGAGAAAAGUAAGAAUUGGGUUGUUUUUUUAUCCGGACCAACAGAUAUCUGUGAUAAUUAUGGAAAGUGUGGUAAAUUUGGUAGCUGUAACAUUGCAAAUGCAACAAUUUGUGAGUGCUUGGAUAAAUUUAAGCCAAGGUCUCCCAAAGAUUGGAACGCGGGUGACUUUUCUGAUGGUUGUGUUCGGGAGAAAUCAUUAGAUUGUCGAAAUGGAGAUGGAUUUCUCAAGUAUUCGAACAUUAAAUUGCCAGACACAGAGAGUUGCAGGAGUUAUGAGAGCAUGAACCUGAAGGACUGUGAAAUAUUAUGCUCAAAGAACUGCUCUUGUACUGCCUACACAACUUUAGACAUAAAUAAGGGAAGUGGCUGUUUGAUUUGGUUUGAUGAACUGAUCGACAUCAGGAAAGCCCCUCAAGGAGGUGGUCAAGAUAUCUACAUAAGAAUGGCAGCUUCAGAGUUAGGUAUGUUAUUAUAUUGUAAUCAGAUAUGAUUCUUUUGCUUGUAAUAUUAGAUUCACAACUUGCUCAAAUUUGCUGAAAUGCAUAGUUCAUAUGCUUAAAUUUUAUACACAUAUUAGAAUUGAGUUUUGACAGAUUUCUUGUUUAAAACAGCACUGGUUAGAAAACUCUGUGUUCUCUUGAAAAUCAUUCAUAUUACAUAUCUUUAGACCAAUAUUAGACGGGCAAUAACACAUGAAAUAUAUAUAUAGGUGCCCAUCUAGGUGGUUCUAAGGGAAAGAAGAAGGAGACAGUCAUAAUAGUCAGUUUGAUAUUCUCAAUUGGGGCUAUUGUGCUAGGCCUUAGCAUUACAAUUUACAUGUUGAAGAAAAAGAAGAGCAAAAGGCAGGAAGGUAUUUCCAUAUGAGCAUCUCUUUAUUCCAAACAGACGUAAACUAUUUGAGUAUCUUAUCUGUAAAAUUUUACUACUCUUCAUGGAUGUGUUUCCUGCUCACAGGGAGGUUCACCCUUGAUACCGAGCAAUUCCAAUCCAAGGAAAGCCAGCAGGAAGAUCUAGAGCUACCACUAAUCGACUUAUUUGCAAUAGAGAAAGCUACAAAUUACUUUUCUGUGAAUAAUAUUCUUGGAGAGGGUGGAUUUGGUCCUGUAUACAAGGUAAAAAUAUCAACUUUAUAGGAUUUCCACAUGAGUCUAAUAUAACAACUAAGAACUAUGAUAAAUUCCAGGGAAUAAUGGAAGAUGGAAGAGAGAUAGCUGUGAAGAGACUCUCAAAGACCUCUAGGCAAGGAACCAAUGAAUUUAAGAACGAAGUUGUCUGCAUUGCAAAACUUCAGCAUCGGAAUCUUGUCAAGCUUUUAGGAUGCUGCAUUCAAGAAGAAGAGAUGAUUUUGAUCUAUGAGUAUCUUCCAAACAAAGGGUUGGACUUCUUUAUCUUCGGUAUGAGUUUUGUUGAUCAUGAUGCUAAUUGAUCACAAAGCGAGCAGUCCAUGGGAACUGCUUCUUUCAUGUAUACAUUUUGGAGUUCCCUGAUGAUGAG
This 4303-nucleotide long non-coding RNA is filed under the name Daucus carota (carrot). Its description in RNAcentral is "long non-coding RNA (DCAR_LNC001644)". The record is from RNAcentral. Lineage: Eukaryota; Viridiplantae; Streptophyta; Magnoliopsida; Apiales; Apiaceae.